CGGGAGGCAGCAGUGGGGAAUUUUGGACAAUGGGGGAAACCCUGAUCCAGCAAUGCCGCGUGUGUGAAGAAGGCCUUCGGGUUGUAAAGCACUUUUGGCAGGAACGAAACGGCUUGGGUUAAUACCUCGGGCUAAUGACGGUACCUGCAGAAUAAGCACCGGCUAACUACGUGCCAGCAGCCGCGGUAAUACGUAGGGUGCAAGCGUUAAUCGGAAUUACUGGGCGUAAAGCGAGCGCAGGCGGUUAUGUAAGACAGAUGUGAAAUCCCCGGGCUUAACCUGGGAACUGCAUUUGUGACUGCAUGGCUAGAGUGCGUCAGAGGGGGGUGGAAUUCCACGUGUAGCAGUGAAAUGCGUAGAGAUGUGGAGGAACACCGAUGGCGAAGGCAGCCCCCUGGGAUGACACUGACGCUCAUGCUCGAAAGCGUGGGGAGCAAACAGGAUUAGAUACCCGAGU
This 457-nucleotide ribosomal RNA is filed under the name uncultured Burkholderiales bacterium. RNAcentral describes it as "bacterial SSU rRNA". It matches the Rfam family "Bacterial small subunit ribosomal RNA", at positions 342 to 791 of the family's 1533-position model. Lineage: Bacteria; Pseudomonadati; Pseudomonadota; Betaproteobacteria; Burkholderiales. The record is from RNAcentral.